GAUGAACGCUGGCGGCGUGCUUAACACAUGCCAGUCGAACGGACAGGCCCAAGCUUGCUUGGUUUCUCGAGUGGCGAACGGGUGAGUAACACGUGGGUGAUCUGCCCUUCACUUCGGGAUAAGCCUUGGAAACUGGGUCUAUUACCGGAUAGGACCACAUUUUGGAUGGUGCGGUGUAAAGUUUUGCGGUGUGGGUUGAGCUCGCGGCCUAUCCCCUUGUUGGUGGGGUAAUGGCCUACGAAGCCGCCGACGGGUAGCCGGCCUGAGAGGGUGUACGGCGACAAUAGGACUGAGGGAGGGCCCAGACGCGAACGGGAGGCAGCAGGGGGGAAUAUGACACAAUGGGCGCAAGCGUGAUGUAGAGAUGCCGGGUGGGGGAUGACGGCCUUCGGGGGGUAAACAAAUGUCGAUAGGGAUGAAGCGGAAGUGACGGUACCUGGAGAAGAAGCAACGGCUAACUACGUG
This 465-nucleotide ribosomal RNA is filed under the name uncultured bacterium. Its description in RNAcentral is "partial 16S ribosomal RNA". It matches the Rfam family "Bacterial small subunit ribosomal RNA", at positions 28 to 507 of the family's 1533-position model. The record is from RNAcentral.